AUAUUUUUAUUUGUAACACAAUAAUAAAGUUAAUAUAAAUGUCAAAUUUCAAAAAAAAAAAUUAAUGUCUAUACACUAAAAUCAAAUAUUUUUCUUUUCUUAGAAUAAUUAUAUCUUAAAAUAAAAAAUCUAAAUAAGAAACAUUUAUAAAUUAAUAAAAUUUCAAAGUUCCAACAUUAUUAAUUUAUAGAGGUUUUACUGUAUAUAUAUAUAUAAUCUUUCCAUGAUGAGGAAAGAUGGACGUCUAAUAAUACAAUUAUCCAUCAACUAAAAACAUGGUUCAGAAUCUUAUUUUAAAAUUAUUAUUAUUAUUAUUAUUAUUCGUUUUAUAUAAAACACUUAUUCUAUAAAUUAACUUUAUGCUCAGGAUCUACAAUAUUUAUAUAUAUUGUAUCAUUAAACAUAUUGUACUAUAUCAUUUUACAUUAUAUAGUUUCAAAUAUUUACAAACUCAAAUUUAAUAAAAAUAGUUUGGCAAAUCAUAUGUUAAAAAUAUAUAUAUAUAUAUAUAUAUAUAUUACAUCAACUUAAUCUUUAUAAAAAUUAUUAUAAUAAAAAUAAUUAUUAAGAAAGUUUAAAAACUAUUGAAAACAUACAAAUAUGUUCUAUUGAGUUAGCUAAAAAAUUCUACUAAGUAAAUCUUAAUCCAUAUCAAUUUAACAAAUGUAACUCUUAUAAAAUAAACAAGAUAUAGUGAGAGAGUAGGUCUGGGUAUUCAGAUAUUCGGGUCAACUGCUUUUAAUCUGGAUUCUUUGGAUCAUAAACAUUUAGACACAAUAAAUAUUUGAAUUCUUUUAAUUAGGGUUUAGGUUGGUUCCAUGUCCGGGUCGGUUCGGAAUAAUAAUUCAAAUACAUGUAACAGACAUGUAAUAUUUGGGUACAUAUCAGGUUUAGGUUGGUUCAUAUAUUAAGAUCUGAAAAGAUUAGAAAUACCUGAAUUAACCUUAAAAUAAUCUGAAACUUGAAAAAUAACCAAAAACUCAACAAAUACCCAAAAUAUAUUCAGAUACUCGAAAAAGAUCUGAAAUGCUUCCCGAAAUAUAACCCAUAAAACCAAAAAUGCCAAAAAUAUAUUUUAAAUUUUUUUACAUGAAAUCUAAAAGUAUAACUGAAAACUUAACUAAAAAAAAAAAGAAUAUCUGUAAUAUCGAAAACAUAUCCCAAAUACACAAAUAUACCUAAUAUACACACAACAUUUCAUGUACGUUGGGUAUCAGACCGGGUUUUGGGUAGGAUCCGUCCGAACCAAGAUCUACUGGUCCAAAAAAUACCCAAUAUGUACAUUUCCCUAGACUCGGACACGAUCGUUUUUUAGAUUCGAGUAAAUGUCUAGGUUUAAGAAAGAUAAUUAUAUAAAAAUGUACAUAAAAAAUCUCAAAUAAACUAAUUCAUAAAUUAUAUAAUUUUGAACAAAUUCACUUCUUCAAUAUUAUACAAUUUUGUUACAUAAUAAUAUACAACAACCACAAAAUACUAAUUCGUGUCAAAUUUUGUCUAUAAUUAAAAAAAUCACGCUUCGAGUAUAAUCCAAAAACCCCCCGCGUUUUCGAAGCGCGGGUCAAAAUCUACUACUUUAUUAAUUUAGUUCAUAUAGCUUGGAUUAUAAUAAAAUUAGCAUGCUUAUUUUUAAUAGAAAAAAGAGCAGACAUAAAUAAAAGAACAAGAAAGAAGAAUAAUAAAAUAUGUUUGUUGUGUUCUUGGUAUUUUUAUAUUUUUAUGUAUUUAAUUUUUAUUUGUUUGUCGAGGUACAUGUAAAUUUUUUUAUCACUAUAAAUGUAAACUAAUUAAUUUUAUGUGUUUUUAAAAUGUUAAAAUAAAUUUAGUAAGGAAGUUCAAUAAAAAUGACCAUCUCUACAAUUGUUAAAGUCAAAGAUGGAAAAUAUAAUGUAAAUUAAAAGUAAGAGAAAAAUAUUUAAAAAUUAAUGAAAUGUAUUUUUUACGCUAUAAUAAACUUUUAAAAUGUACGAUAAUAAAAUUUUAACAAAAUUUAUACAAAUAAAAACAUUUUAUUUCAUAUAAUAUUGGAUCUUACAUUAAUAUUAAGUAUAUAUGCCUCAAAUAACGACAUUUGGUUAUUUAAAAAUUGAAAUAUUAUUUUUUCUUAUUAGUUAAUCAGAUUUAAAUAAUAUUUGUAUGUUUUAAUUUAAUUUAAAAUAAAUUAAAACAAUAAUUUUAAAAGAUAUGUAAACUAUGAUUAGUUUUAAUUAAAAACAUUUGGUUGAAUAUGAGUUAGUGUUUGAUAAAAUAGUGUGAUGAUCAGGGAUAAUUUAAGGAAGAAUUUGUUUGCUUAACCCAUUUGAGUUUUAUAUUAAACACUAAAUUAAAAAAAAAUGCUUGAAAAGUGUGAUUUGGAACAAAUUAUGAGAAAAAUUGCUUAAACUACUAUUUUCCUAAUACAUGUUUUUAUGUUUACCUUAACCAAAUUUAUCCUUAAUUUUAAGGAGAUAAAUCCUACUAUAUAUUAACUGAGAAGCCACUUAAUUGACUUUUGAUUAUGCUCCUUUAACAGGUUAAGUUUUAAAAAAAUAGUUAUAAUUUGAUGGGUUGUUAACAUUUAUUAGUUAAAAUUUUAAUUAGAUCUAAAAAUAAAAGGUAACUCUAGAACUAAUUGAUACAAAUUACCAAAUAACAAAAAUGAUAUUACAAAUAAUGAUUUAUGAUAACUAAUUGUAGAAUUAGAGAAAUGAUAUAUAUGUUUUAUCAAUUUCUUUAUUUUUAUCAAUUAAUUAUAUAUAAUAAAAUAAAAUACUUUUGCAUUUUUUAUAGAAAUAAAUUUAAUGGUUAUAUAUUAUUAUAUAAAAGAAUUAUAUUUGUAGGUAAGGAAUUAUUAUAAAUUUUAUGUUUUUAAAGCCCACACAAAGCCAUUUA
Long non-coding RNA from Brassica rapa (field mustard), 2868 nucleotides. RefSeq lists it as uncharacterized. NCBI's taxonomy places the organism in Eukaryota, Viridiplantae, Streptophyta, Magnoliopsida, Brassicales, Brassicaceae. The record is from RefSeq and is a predicted model, not a curated record.